GAUGAACGCUGGCGGCGUGCCUAAUACAUGCAAGUCGAGCGAACGGACGAUAAGCUUGCUUUUCUGAUGUUAGCGGCGGACGGGUGAGUAACACGUGGAUAACCUACCUAUAAGACUGGGAUAACUUCGGGAAACCGGAGCUAAUACCGGAUAAUAUUUUGAACCGCUUGGUUCAAAAGUGAAAGACGGUCUUGCUGUCACUUAUAGAUGGUUCCGGGCUGCAUUGGCUAGUUGGUAAGGUAACGGCUUACCAAGGCAACGAUGCAUAGCCGACCUGAGAGGGUGAUCGGCAACACUGGAACGGAGACACGGUCCAGACUCCUAGGGGAGGCAGCAGUAGGGAAUCUUCCGCAAUGGGCGAAAGCAUGACGGAGCAAAGCCGCGUGAGAGAUGAAGGGCUUAGGAUCGUAAAACUCUGUUAUUAGGGAAGAAAAGAUGUGGAAGUAACGGUGCACAGCUUGACGGUACCUAAUCAGAAAGCCACGGCUAACUACGUG
Molecule: ribosomal RNA, 497 nt
Filed under: uncultured bacterium
Lineage: Bacteria
Description: partial 16S ribosomal RNA
Rfam family: Bacterial small subunit ribosomal RNA
Source: RNAcentral